UACGUAGGGAGCAAGCGUUGCCCGGAAUCAUUGGGCGUAAAGCGCGCGUAGGUGGCCUCGUAAGUCCGCUGUGAAAGUCAAAGGCUCAACCUUUGAAAGCCGGUGGAUACUGUGGGGCUAGAGUACGGAAGAGGCGAGUGGAAUUCCUGGUGUAGCGGUGGAAUGCGCAGAUAUCAGGAGGAACACCAAUAGCGAAGGCAGCUCGCUGGGACGUUACUGACACUGAGGCGCGAAAGCGUGGGGAGCGAACAGG
RNAcentral lists this ribosomal RNA (253 nucleotides) under uncultured bacterium. RNAcentral describes it as "partial 16S ribosomal RNA". It matches the Rfam family "Bacterial small subunit ribosomal RNA", at positions 524 to 776 of the family's 1533-position model. The record is from RNAcentral.